AUUGAACGCUGGCGGAAUGCUUUACACAUGCAAGUCGAACGGCAGCACGGACUUCGGUCUGGUGGCGAGUGGCGAACGGGUGAGUGAUGUAUCGGAACGUGCCCAGUCGUGGGGGAUAACGUAGUGAAAAUUACGCUAAUACCGCAUACGAUCUAUGGAUGAAAGCGGGGGAUCGCAAGACCUCGCGCGAUUGGAGCGGCCGAUAUCAGAUUAGGUAGUUGGUGGGGUAAAGGCCCACCAAGCCAACGAUCUGUAGCUGGUCUGAGAGGACGACCAGCGACACUGGAACUGAGACACAGUCCAGACUCCUACGGGAGGCAGCAGUGGGGAAUUUUGGACAAUGGGCGAAAGCCUGAUCCAGCCAUUCCGCGUGCAGGAUGAAGGCCCUCGGGUUGUAAACUGCUUUUGUACAGAACGAAAAGGUUUCUACUAAUACUAGGAGCUCAUGACGGUACUGUAAGAAUAAGCACCGGCUAACUACGUGCCAGCAGCCGCGGUAA
This 500-nucleotide ribosomal RNA is filed under the name uncultured bacterium. RNAcentral's name for it is "partial 16S ribosomal RNA". It matches the Rfam family "Bacterial small subunit ribosomal RNA", at positions 30 to 523 of the family's 1533-position model. The record is from RNAcentral.